GGAUGGGAGGGGCUGAGAAGACUUGAGGAAGGAUGUCGCAGAGAAGAGAAGUGAGGGGAGGACAAUCAGGAUCCCGAAAGCCACAGAGGAGUAGGUGGGUGGAAAAGCGGUCACCAGGUGGACAGGACCAGAGGACAUUUCCAUUACUUACUCCGGCCGCAAUCAGCUGCUGUUGCAUAGCCUAUAGCCUUGGCCAGCCCGAAGGUGAGCAGUCCGAAGUUGGUGGUGGCCUCGGCCGUGUGGAUCAUGUCAGCUGUGCCAAGCUCCACUUCAGCAUACGAGAACUCACUGCCUGGCACAGCCUCCCAGCUUUCGUCUACAAGCCUUCCUGGC
This 333-nucleotide long non-coding RNA is filed under the name Pan troglodytes (chimpanzee). Its description in RNAcentral is "long non-coding RNA NONPTRT008129". Lineage: Eukaryota; Metazoa; Chordata; Mammalia; Primates; Hominidae. The record is from RNAcentral.